CUAUUAACAUAUGUGUAUCAUACUGAUGUUUGUGUGUGUAUAUAUAUAUAUAUAUAUAUAUAUAUAUAUAUAUAUAUAUAUAUAUACAUACACACAAACAUCAGUAUGAUACACAUAUGUUAAUAG
Non-coding RNA from Pelobates cultripes (western spadefoot toad), 126 nucleotides. The record is from the annotation of a GenBank genome assembly. Lineage: Eukaryota; Metazoa; Chordata; Amphibia; Anura; Pelobatidae.